UCUAGGCGGACUGAGAGGUUGACCGCCAACACUGGGACUGAGACACUGCCCAGACUCCUACGGGAGGCUGCAGUCGAGAAUCAUUCGCAAUGGGCGAAAGCCUGACGAUGCGACGCCGUGUGGACGAUGAAGGCCUUUGGGUUGUAAAGUCCUUUCGCCAGGGAACAAGAAAGAAUGACUAAUAAUCAUUCAAUUUGAGCGUAUCUGGUAAAGAAGCACCGGCUAACUCCGUGCCAGCAGCUGCGGUAAUACGGAGGGUGCAAGCAUUAAUCGGAUUUAUUGGGUGUAAAGAGCAUGUAGGCGGAUAAGCAAGUCAGAUGUGAAAUUUCGAAGCUCAACUUCGAAGCUGCAUUUGAAACUGCUUGUCUAGAGGGUAGACGGAGAAAACGGAAUUCCAAGUGUAGCGGUGAAAUGCGUAGAUAUUUGGAAGAACACCGGUGGCGAAAGCGGUUUUCUAGUUUAUUCCNGACGCUNAGAUGCGAAAGCAAGGGGAGCAAACAGGAUUAGAUACC
RNAcentral lists this ribosomal RNA (512 nucleotides) under uncultured Candidatus Fritschea sp. RNAcentral describes it as "bacterial SSU rRNA". It matches the Rfam family "Bacterial small subunit ribosomal RNA", at positions 282 to 786 of the family's 1533-position model. Lineage: Bacteria; Pseudomonadati; Chlamydiota; Chlamydiia; Parachlamydiales; Simkaniaceae. The record is from RNAcentral.